AGACGUGCGCUCGUUUGCUCCGCAGUCCCCGCGCUCGCUCAGUUUUUGGCUGGCUGUCGCGGAGAGCAGGUGUGUGCUCGGUUGCUCUCCGCAGUCCCUGCGUCCGCUCAGUUUCUGCCUGGCUGAUAACCAGUCGCCGCGGGGGAAAAGAGCUAUGAUGGUGGCGCCAUCUGGUGUGAUGCCUUGCAACUAAGUGGUCACCUGUCGUCGAUCUCUGCAACUGCUGGGUGCCAACUACCAACAUGACGGGCGCUGGUCACUCGGGUGUUGGGGAGCGGCUUCUUCGCCGCGGCAUCGUUGAUUUUCGAAUAAAUUGUUUCUCUCCACUCUA
Ornithodoros turicata is the source of this 331-nucleotide long non-coding RNA. RefSeq lists it as uncharacterized. The record is from RefSeq and is a predicted model, not a curated record. The transcript has 2 exons. NCBI's taxonomy places the organism in Eukaryota, Metazoa, Arthropoda, Arachnida, Ixodida, Argasidae.